This 571-nucleotide small RNA is filed under the name Pongo abelii (Sumatran orangutan). Its description in RNAcentral is "retained intron". The record is from RNAcentral. Lineage: Eukaryota; Metazoa; Chordata; Mammalia; Primates; Hominidae.
ACCAGAGGGAGCCAGGGCUGCAGCCGCAUCUGUUUGCAGAUCAGAACCCGAGCUGUGCUUGUGGCUGCGGCUGCUAACUGGCUGAGCACAGGGAGCUGUCAUCAUGCCUCAGUCGUACCCAGCCCUUUCUGCUGAGCAGAAGAAGGAGUUGUCUGACAUUGCCUUGCGGAUUGUAGCCCCGGGCAAAGGCAUUCUGGCUGCGGAUGAGUCUGUAGGCAGCAUGGCCAAGCGGCUGAGCCAAAUUGGGGUGGAGAACACAGAGGAGAACCGUCGGCUGUACCGCCAGGUCCUGUUCAGUGCUGAUGACCGUGUGAAAAAGUGCAUUGGAGGCGUCAUUUUCUUCCAUGAGACCCUCUACCAGAAAGAUGAUAAUGGUGUUCCCUUUCUCCGAACGAUCCAGGAUAAGGGCAUCGUCGUGGGUAUCAAGGUGCAGCCCCUGGCCCUGCUCUGAAUGGAAGCUGGGUGUGAAAAUAAGCUUGUGUAGGAGGGGUAGCAAGGAGAAUCCUGCCUGGAUUCAACUCUCUGCUUGUGCUUCCUCUACAGGUUGACAAGGGUGUAGUGCCUCUAGCUG